CAGUAACCGCGGGAAUACGUAGGUGGCAAGCGUUGUCCGGAAUUAUUGGGCGUAAAGGGCUCGCAGGCGGUUUCUUAAGUCUGAUGUGAAAGCCCCCGGCUCAACCGGGGAGGGUCAUUGGAAACUGGGAAACUUGAGUGCAGAAGAGGAGAGUGGAAUUCCACGUGUAGCGGUGAAAUGCGUAGAGAUGUGGAGGAACACCAGUGGCGAAGGCGACUCUCUGGUCUGUAACUGACGCUGAGGAGCGAAAGCGUGGGGAGCGAACAGGAUUAGAUACCCGAGUAGUCCCUGUCUCUUAUAC
RNAcentral lists this ribosomal RNA (301 nucleotides) under uncultured bacterium. RNAcentral describes it as "partial 16S ribosomal RNA". It matches the Rfam family "Bacterial small subunit ribosomal RNA", at positions 509 to 807 of the family's 1533-position model. The record is from RNAcentral.